RNAcentral lists this ribosomal RNA (623 nucleotides) under Gloeobacter violaceus PCC 7421. Its description in RNAcentral is "bacterial SSU rRNA". It matches the Rfam family "Bacterial small subunit ribosomal RNA", at positions 114 to 772 of the family's 1533-position model. Lineage: Bacteria; Bacillati; Cyanobacteriota; Cyanophyceae; Gloeobacterales; Gloeobacteraceae. The record is from RNAcentral.
CGCGUGAGAAUCUGCCCUCAGGAGGGGGAUAACGGCCGGAAACGGCCGCUAAUACCCCAUAUGCCGCAAGGUGAAAUGAAUUUCGCCUGAGGAUGAGCCCGCGUCUGAUUAGCUAGUUGGUGGGGUAAUGGCCUACCAAGGCUACGAUCAGUAGCUGGUCUGAGAGGAUGAUCAGCCACACUGGGACUGAGACACGGCCCAGACUCCUACGGGAGGCAGCAGUGGGGAAUUUUCCGCAAUGGGCGAAAGCCUGACGGAGCAACGCCGCGUGGGUGAUGAAGGCCCGUGGGUCGUAAAGCCCUUUUGUCAGGGACGAAACCUGACGGUACCUGACGAAUAAGCAUCGGCUAACUCCGUGCCAGCAGCCGCGGUAAUACGGAGGAUGCAAGCGUUAUCCGGAAUUAUUGGGCGUAAAGCGUACGUAGGCGGCCAGCCAAGUCUGGGGUCAAAGCCCGCAGCCUAACUGCGGAAAGGCCCUGGAAACUGGUUGGCUAGAGUGCGGUAGGGGCAAGGGGAAUUCCCGGUGUAGCGGUGAAAUGUGGAGAUAUCGGGAAGAACACCAGCGGCGAAAGCGCCUUGCUGGACCGCAACUGACGCUGAGGUACGAAAGCCAGGGGAGCAAU